GGCAGGCCAUGAGAAGCAUACACAACCUGGGUGCAAGUAACUUGUCAGAGCAAUAAACUGCCACCACAGUUUGUCAGUCCUUGGCCAGUCUGUUGAGAAGCUAGACAAGAUGCAGCACUUUCUGCAGCUUCUGCGAAGUGCCACAUCCACAGGCUGGUUUAGCAAAGGCCACUGCUCUGCGUCACUCUCCCAUUGAGCCCACAUGAAAGGCAGGAGUCUGGGCAGAAGCAGAGACAAGCUGGGAGCUUUCGCACAUCUCAUAAGCUGCUUCGAGCCUGUGCCUUUGCAAAGUGGAAAAAGGAAUUGAAGAAUGAAAAAAUAAAUAUUAAAGCACGUAAGAAUUAAAUAUCACCUAUUCAAAUAGCAAUUAUGCCGUUGAAAACAAGAUCACCACACCUGUACAAGAAAAGACAACCAAGCCCACAACAUCUGUUUGGAUCCACCUGCCAAGCACCUGUUUUGCUGUUUCAAUGCCAUUUGAUUGCUGGAGAUGUAGAGGCUCUUGUGAGGUUUCUUGCGCAGUUGUAUGCUUUGUGCUGGUUGAAGAUGGCUACAGACUCAGGUCCUUAUCUGAAGGGCAGUUUUCCACCUUGAGAACUGUAGUAUAAAACAGCCCAUGCUUCUCACCAUGGAGAAUUCAGUGGCUGCUUGGGAUCAUCUCCCAAAGAUGAGAAAGUUGUGGUAGUCCAAACUGAGAGAAGCAGAUGAGCUUGUAGCAUUCUCUCUGUUUCUUCCAAGAGGCUGCUGUGGCCUGGAUCUCAUCUUGUCUUUUAGUAACAUCUUCCAGAUUUGUUUUAAACUGAUUAGACACUGCUGAAGAAUCAGCUU
Molecule: long non-coding RNA, 828 nt
Organism: Pezoporus flaviventris
Lineage: Eukaryota; Metazoa; Chordata; Aves; Psittaciformes; Psittacidae
Exons: 5
Source: RefSeq, a predicted model, not a curated record